GUACAUGAUGACACAAUGGAUCCUUCUGAUCCUUCCAUCAAAGUACUCUAGGAACUGGAUCUGAAGACUCCUAAAAGCUGAA
RNAcentral lists this small nucleolar RNA (82 nucleotides) under Gallus gallus (chicken). RNAcentral describes it as "GGN80 snoRNA". Lineage: Eukaryota; Metazoa; Chordata; Aves; Galliformes; Phasianidae. The record is from RNAcentral.